Molecule: ribosomal RNA, 477 nt
Filed under: uncultured Planctomycetales bacterium
Lineage: Bacteria; Pseudomonadati; Planctomycetota; Planctomycetia; Planctomycetales
Description: bacterial SSU rRNA
Rfam family: Bacterial small subunit ribosomal RNA
Source: RNAcentral
UUCGCAAUGCCCGAAAGGAUGACGAAGCGACGCCGCGUGCGGGAAGAAGGCCUUCGGGUUGUAAACCGCUGUCGGGAGUUAAGAAAUGUAAGGAUGUUAAUAGCAUCUUUGCUUGACUAAGGCUCCGGAGGAAGCCACGGCUAACUCUGUGCCAGCAGCCGCGGUAAUACAGAGGCGGCAAGCGUUGUUCGGAAUUAUUGGGCGUAAAGAGCACGUAGGCGGCUAUGUAAGUCGGUUGUGAAAGCCUUCCGCUCAACGGGAGAACAGCAUCCGAUACUGCAUGGCUUGAGUGCGGGAGGGGAGAGUGGAACUUCUGGUGGAGCGGUGAAAUGCGUAGAUAUCAGAAGGAACGCCGGCGGCGAAAGCGGCUCUCUGGCCCAUAACUGACGCUGAGUGUGCGAAAGCUAGGGGAGCAAACGGGAUUAGAUACCCCGGUAGUCCUAGCCGUAAACGAUGGGCACUAAGUAGAGGGGUUUU